This 497-nucleotide ribosomal RNA is filed under the name uncultured bacterium. RNAcentral describes it as "partial 16S ribosomal RNA". It matches the Rfam family "Bacterial small subunit ribosomal RNA", at positions 28 to 507 of the family's 1533-position model. The record is from RNAcentral.
GAUGAACGCUGGCGGCGUGCCUAAUACAUGCAAGUCGAGCGAACAGACGAGGAGCUUGCUCCUCUGACGUUAGCGGCGGACGGGUGAGUAACACGUGGAUAACCUACCUAUAAGACUGGGAUAACUUCGGGAAACCGGAGCUAAUACCGGAUAAUAUAUUGAACCGCAUGGUUCAAUAGUGAAAGACGGUUUUGCUGUCACUUAUAGAUGGAUCCGCGCCGCAUUAGCUAGUUGGUAAGGUAACGGCUUACCAAGGCAACGAUGCGUAGCCGACCGGAGAGGGUGAUCGGCCACACUGGAACUGAGACACGGUCCAGACUCCUACGGGAGGCAGCAGUAGGGAAUCUUCCGCAAUGGGCGAAAGCCUGACGGAGCAACGCCGCGUGAGUGAUGAAGGUCUUCGGAUCGUAAAACUCUGUUAUUAGGGAAGAACAAAUGUGUAAGCAACUAUGCACGUCUUGACGGUACCUAAUCAGAAAGCCACGGCUAACUACGUG